AUUGAACGCUGGCGGCAUGCCUUACACAUGCAAGUCGAACGGCAGCACGGGAGCAAUCCUGGUGGCGAGUGGCGAACGGGUGAGUAAAGUAUCGGAACGUGCCCAGUCGUGGGGGAUAACGUAGCGAAAGUUACGCUAAUACCGCAUACGAUCUAUGGAUGAAAGCGGGGGAUCGCAAGACCUCGCGCGAUUGGACCGGCCGAUGUCAGAUUAGGUAGUUGGUGGGGUAAAGGCUCACCAACCCGACGAUCUGUAGCUGGUCUGAGAGGACGACCAGCCACACUGGGACUGAGACACGGCCCAGACUCCUACGGGAGGCAGCAGUAGGGAAUUUUGGACAAUGGGCGGAAGCCUGAUCCAGCCAUGCCGCGUGCAGGAUGAAGGCCUUCGGGUUGUAAACUGCUUUUGUACGGAACGAAAAGGUUUGGCCUAAUAAGCUGAGCUCAUGACGGUACCGUAAGAAUAAGCACCGGCUAACUACGUGCCAGCCGCCGCAGUAA
Molecule: ribosomal RNA, 500 nt
Filed under: uncultured bacterium
Lineage: Bacteria
Description: partial 16S ribosomal RNA
Rfam family: Bacterial small subunit ribosomal RNA
Source: RNAcentral